GAUGAACGCUGGCGGCGCCUAAUACAUGCAAGUCGAGCGAACAGACGAGGAGCUUGCUCCUCUGACGUUAGCGGCGGACGGGUGAGUAACACGUGGAUAACCUACCUAUAAGACUGGGAUAACUUCGGGAAACCGGAGCUAAUACCGGAUAAUAUAUUGAACCGCAUGGUUCAAUAGUGAAAGACGGUUUUGCUGUCACUUAUAGAUGGAUCCGCGCCGCAUUAGCUAGUUGGUAAGGUAACGGCUUACCAAGGCAACGAUGCGUAGCCGACCUGAGAGGGUGAGCGGCCACACGGGACCUGAGACACGGUCCAGCCUCAUGCGGGAGGAAGAAGGGGGGAUGCGUCCGCAGGGGGCAAGAGCCGGACGAACCAACGCCGCGGGAGUAAAGAAGCUCUUGGGGUCGAAAAACUUUUUUAUUGGGGAAGAAAAAAUGUAAAAAGAAAUAUGCGCGUCUGGAGGAGCCCUAAUAAAAAGACCGGGGCUAGCUGCGUC
Molecule: ribosomal RNA, 495 nt
Filed under: uncultured bacterium
Lineage: Bacteria
Description: partial 16S ribosomal RNA
Rfam family: Bacterial small subunit ribosomal RNA
Source: RNAcentral